UAAAUCGAUUUGAUAAUCGCUUUUUAAUAAGAGGAAAGUCCGAACUCCGCAGGGGAAAAUACCUCCUAAUAAGAGGACCUUACUAAAGUAGGGAUGGAAAGUGCAACAGAGAGUAGACCGCCUUUAUAAAUAAAGGUAAGGGUGAAACGAAAAGGUAAGAUCUUUUCAGUAGCAAUUGAAAGAUUGUUAGUUAUGUAAACCCUAUUUGGAGCAAGAUUAAGUAACCAAGUGUGCCCCGCAUGUUAAAAUGGUUGGUAAAUCGCUUGAGUUAAGCUGUGAAGCUUAAUCUAGAUAAAUGAUUAUCUGAAAAACAGAAUUCGGCUUAUAAAUCGAUUUAAAAA
RNAcentral lists this RNase P RNA (341 nucleotides) under Fidelibacterota bacterium. Its description in RNAcentral is "RNase P RNA component class A". It matches the Rfam family "Bacterial RNase P class A". From Rfam's summary of the family: Ribonuclease P (RNase P) is a ubiquitous endoribonuclease, found in archaea, bacteria and eukarya as well as chloroplasts and mitochondria. Its best characterised activity is the generation of mature 5'-ends of tRNAs by cleaving the 5'-leader elements of precursor-tRNAs. Lineage: Bacteria; Pseudomonadati; Fidelibacterota. The record is from RNAcentral.